UUUUCUUCUUUUUUUUUUUUUUUCUCUCGAUGCCCUAACCGACUCGACGGAUAUAUCCGAGGAUAAACCUUAUAGAUAUUGUGGUGGCAUUAAGAGCGACGAUCUCGGUCGAGGAGAUUGGACGACCUCGGCGACGGUGGUUUCGUGGAAGUCUUGCUCGUGUUUGCUGAAUUUCUUAAGAAUAAGAAGGCAAGAUGUCUGGUGGAGAAGUGCGAAAGGUGUCCCGUCAAGAUAUCCAACUUGUUCAAAAUCUUAUUGAGCGUUGUCUUCAGCUGUAUAUGAAUCAAAAAGAAGUGGUUGAGACACUCUCUCUUCAGGCAAAAAUAGAACCUAGUUUCACUGAACUUGUUUGGCAAAAACUAGAAGAAGAGAAUCGAGAAUUUUUCAAGGCAUAUCAUGUUAGACUGAUGCUUAAGAACCAAAUUAUGGUAUUCAACAACCUUCUGGAGAAACAAGUUGAGCUCAUGCACAAAGUAUGUCCAUCUGGAGUUGCUCCUAUACCUCCGUCCAAUGGCUCUAAUUCUUCUCCAUUGCAUCAAACACCGUCAUGCUAUUUAUCAGAACAUGCAUCUACAUCUUCAAGGCCAGAUGGCAUGCUUUGCAAUGGAGGUGCUGCUGGUGCCAUGUUAAAUAGUAGGCCUGCAGUAACAGGCAUUCAGCUUGGUAAUGAUGCAUCUGUUCUUACUGGAAGCAUGGACACUUCAACAAGCCUGCUGUCGACACAGAACUCAGCCAUGGGAAGGCUUCAAGGAAUUAAUGGGACGACUAUAAAGUCAGAACCUAGCUAUUCAGGCAAUUCUGAAUUUUCAUUCUGUGCCGAUAGCAGUUUUCUAGAAGCACAACCGCCAAUUGCAGAUCCGCCUGCUGGAUCCUUCAGCAGCUCAGAGUUGACCGGACAACCAUUGAAUGAUCCACUCCCAGAUGAGCCAUUCGGAUUUUUAAGCCAGAUUCCUCGAAAUUUUAGCUUUUCAGAUUUAGCGGAUCACUUCACUCAGAGUGCUGAUAUAUUGGAGAAUUAUGGCAGGUCGCCUUUCCUUCCAGCUGAAGCAAAUAACUUCUCGAGUUCUCCUGGAGAAUGUAAAGGUUGACCGGGCAAGGAAGUAGCAUUUGUACAUAUGGGUGGACAGGUUUCUUAAAUUAUUGACAUUAAGGCUUCAAAGGUUGCUUGCUGCUUGCAUGUUGGACUGUUGCUAAUGCUUGGAUUCGUUUGAUCAGAUCAUAAUAAUACUUAUUUUUUAGUCAGAGGUCAACAUCUUGUCUUUUCAGACUGGUCUCUGUGUUGGAGAUGUUAUGGAUUUAGGGCUUUCAUGUUUCGUCUUUGGAAAGUACCAUGGAGCCAUCAUAAAUUACAAAAGGCUUGCUUGCUGCUGCUGGCUUCAUCUUUUGACCCAAUUGAAGAUCUUCUGUCAUAUUAUCCUAGCAAAUUUGUGCAUUUGUAUCUGUUGAAAAUACACGUGCAUGCAUGAGGCAUAUCAAUUCCCUCUAAAAUCCACGUACACCGCCUUGUCUUGGCAUCUGAGUGUUGGGGCCGGCUUGUGCGUGGUGCAACAGGUGCUGCAUUAGAAAUGCUACGAAGUCUUGUGGGGAUUUUUGAUGCCAGUAAUGUAUUUUGUGAGUGUGGUGGUCGUUGAUUUGGGCAUUGUCUGUAUGCAAACCUUUCAGCCCGUGGAACAGCUGAGAGAAGCUGAGCACAAGGGGUUUGGACAUUGUUCAGAAUAAGUGGGAAAGUUAAAGGGUGUACGCUUUGGUGGUUCAUCUUUUCAAGCCUGCAAAGGAUAUUCCUUGAUCCGUUUGAAGCCGAAGCUCCCAAGAUCAUCUCAAAACUCAUCUCUCUCUCCCUCUCAUAACUUAUCUUGUUAUAUUGCUUUUGAUAAAAAAAGCUCUCAUUUUUUCCAUUAUGAACUCAAGCUCACUAUUUGUUGUAAUUCUGGAGGACCGGGCCUUGGAACAAAGCAAAAGCGUGGUCCUCAAGCUCAAGCCCGUUGUGGUGAACUUAGUACCAUACAACCAUUUUUAUCGAUGAGCCACUAGCUCAUCAUAAAAUGAACCAAGGAAAUGGUUGGUUGUCGUGUUUGGAUAACAAGCUGCAGAGUCUCCUCAGCUUUAUGCCUUUGUACCUGUUAAUGAGCUGUUACGGAAAUGUUCAUGCGAUCCGUUCGGUUGACAUCUGAGUCUUCGUUUCUUGUCCUCUACAAUGUUUUGUAAAUGUGUCUCACUUAAGUUCCUUGGAAGCUCUAUAAUUAAGAAUCCUUGUCCCUGUCUGAUGUAAAUAUUAUGUCUAUAUUAAUUAGGAAUUGAUAAUAGAAACAAGUAAAAAUUUUAAUCUUUUGAUAAUGAUUUGAUCAGAUAGAAGGUAUUUCUUUUUUGAUCUUUCUGCUUCUUGACUCUAAUACAUCAGAACUUCAAAAAAUCGAGUAACAAAUGAGGGAUACAACUAGAUUUUU
Non-coding RNA from Elaeis guineensis (African oil palm), 2444 nucleotides. Lineage: Eukaryota; Viridiplantae; Streptophyta; Magnoliopsida; Arecales; Arecaceae. The record is from RefSeq and is a predicted model, not a curated record.